Molecule: long non-coding RNA, 802 nt
Filed under: Phasianus colchicus (ring-necked pheasant)
Lineage: Eukaryota; Metazoa; Chordata; Aves; Galliformes; Phasianidae
Description: lncRNA (ENSPCLG00000012361.1)
Source: RNAcentral
GUCAUGUUGCAAGCAGGCAACAACUGGCACCCAAACAGGGAUCUGACAGGUUGAUGGGUGUUCAGCUGACCAGUGGCAAGCCCCACUGACCUCAAGACUGCUGAAAGGAAGGAGCAUCAGGUCUGCUGCAAGGAAGCAAGACCAGCCACACCGCAUCAUCAUCUCUGCUGCACAGAGCAAGAUCCUCAAGUAAGGAAAAAGUAGACACAAACACAAGGAAGCAGAGACAUUGGAACCAAAUCCUGGAAGAAGUACGAGGGCUACUCUGAAAGUAAUGUCUCCUUCUAUUGUUGGUCCAUCAUACAAGAGGAAGAUGUUGGUGCUCUGGAAGUAGGUGUAGAGCAAUCCUGCCAAUAUUCCAUUACAUUUUGUUCUGUGCAGCAGAGGGGCAGUCUGACAAAAUGGAAUCUAACAUGGAAGUGCAUACGAAGCAAAAGUCUGGAAUUGAAUUCUCCCACAUGGAAAAAAUGCCACCCACUGACACUCACCAAUGCUUGCUGAAUGCUUAUUGAGACCAAACAGAGGAUAUCAGCACAGUGAAAGAUGGACUGCAUGGGCAAGAUUUUCCUAGCAACUAUAUGGUUGUAGCAGCUGUAAUAUAUUGGGUCACCUCCUCUGGUGCAGAUUUUUGCAAACACAUGCAGGCUCUUGCUCAUCACUGGCAAAAAUGUAUAUGAAUGGGACUAUGUUGAAAAAACAGUGUUUUGUAGUUGAGAAUUUUCUCUACCAGGUAGUAUUAUUAUGAUUUUUGUAUCUGUUGUAAUUUCCAUGGAAAUAAAUAGGAGGCAUUAGUUUUAGAGCA